This 937-nucleotide long non-coding RNA is filed under the name Heterocephalus glaber (naked mole-rat). Its description in RNAcentral is "lncRNA (ENSHGLG00000046572.1)". Lineage: Eukaryota; Metazoa; Chordata; Mammalia; Rodentia; Bathyergidae. The record is from RNAcentral.
CCGACACACACUCCGCCCGACACACACACUCCCGCACACACAGAUCCUUGCAAGAGCGAAGGAUCUCACUUCUGUACCUCCUCAGAAGAAAAAGGAAGAAAACUGCUCCAGUCUUCAGCUGUGUAAGCCUUCAGAGAGAUAAACAGGGCUGCCCCUUCCUCCUCUGUAAAGACGUGGGAAGCCAGGAAUGGCGCGCAUGUGAAUGAAUCCACCUGCUCUGAUGCUGCAGGCAGUGAGGUUCUGAGUGUGAAUCCUGGGAAAUGGCGUCCAGGCAGAGGCCACGUGGGCGAGGGCCACUCUGUCGCUCUGAGGAGCUCGUGAAAGCUACUGUGUGAAUGAUGUGGCUCCCCCUCCACGCGGGAAACUGUGAGGGGCGCCUGACCACGCCGUGACAAACCAGGUGGUGGUGGGAGGCACCGUCCAGGUGUGUUGCCAUGGUGUCAGCCUGUGUCCUGCACACCAAGAAGUCACCAGAGGGCAUUCUGCUCCUUGAGGAGGUGCGCCUGUGGUCGGCACUGUGCUCUGGGCGCUUUAACUUCAUGAUUCAAGGCGUCGCAGCCUCCACCUUUCCCAUUGGAGUCUCCACAACCCCACCCCACCAACUUCAUCCAACCUGGCCUGGCACAGAGAAGCAUGGCAGGCCCGAACCUGGCUGUUUGUAGCAUCACAGCAAGUCUUCAUUGCUGACUGUCUUAUUCCAACCCUCUAACCAGAAGAGUGACCAAGGAAACCUUCCCAUCUGCAAAUCUAGAGAAAUCUGGGAGCAAAACAGUGACCCCUUGGGCCUAGCUUGUCUGUUCUGUCUGAGUCCAGCUGCUCACUGGGUCUCAGGAGGUCGGAUGCUGGAGCCCACGAGACUACGCAAGGUUUUUGCCACCCAGGAAUCUCUCAAGAGAUGGGGAACUUUCUGCCACUGUAGGCCCUGGAUGGUGCAGAG